Antechinus flavipes (yellow-footed antechinus) is the source of this 897-nucleotide long non-coding RNA. RefSeq lists it as uncharacterized. The transcript has 2 exons. The record is from RefSeq and is a predicted model, not a curated record. NCBI's taxonomy places the organism in Eukaryota, Metazoa, Chordata, Mammalia, Dasyuromorphia, Dasyuridae.
CCCAGAGCAGAUCACAGAUGCCAGGACUUGGGUCAUCACUGGCAUACAGCUAUGGCAGGGGAAGGCCCCCAGUGGAUGGGAGGAUGAAGGAGACCUGGCACCUUGCCCAGAGGAGUCUUCUGAGCCCACGAGGGACCAGGGCUUCCACCUAGGGAUGGAGGACCACCUGGAGCCUUUUUUCAUGGGAACCACUCCCCAGCUGCCAGGUAUUAUCCGGAGACCCAGGCCCGGCUCUGGGCGAGCGUCUCCGGAGCCUCCCAGCUGUUAGUUUUGGGUCCUGCUCCACUGUGACCCUGGAAACCCUUCCCCCGCUGAGCUCCCCGUGACUCCUCCUCACGCCAGGUCCCCAUCACCUGGCCAUUCACGAGGCCGUCUCCAGCCCCCCUCACCCGCUCCCCCAGGACCAGCGACGGGGCCCCCAUCACUCCGACACAGACGGUGCUGGAAGUGGAGCGGGCUCUGCAUUCACUGUGGGCACGAUUUCUGCCCAGGAGAAAACCCCCGCCUGCCUCGGGCUGCUUCUCCGACCCUGUCCGCUCCAGCUCAGGCCCGUGCUCCUUCCUCAGGGCUCACCCACCUGCCUCAGCUUGACUCCCGUCUCCCAGGAGACUCCGGUGAAGGCCUGGGAGCAGCGGCCGGAGGGCAGGGAGGGCUGCCGGAAACGCCCGCCGGCCUCUGUUCACCCCGUGGUUCGUGGCCAGGGAGCCUCGAUGCUUCCCCAGUCCCACAAACCUCCGGAAAGGAUGGAAAUCAUGGGGAACUUUCCUCUGGCCUUCGUCCAGCCUGUGGGGAGGAGUGUUACUAAAUGGCUGCGGCCAGGGCUGAGCCGGCCCUUUUAGUGGAGAGAUUGGGGUCCAUUUGGUGAUGAAAAUGCCAUAAAUCCCGAGCUACAAAGAC